This 253-nucleotide ribosomal RNA is filed under the name uncultured bacterium. Its description in RNAcentral is "partial 16S ribosomal RNA". It matches the Rfam family "Bacterial small subunit ribosomal RNA", at positions 524 to 776 of the family's 1533-position model. The record is from RNAcentral.
UACGUAGGUGGCAAGCGUUAUCCGGAAUUAUUGGGCGUAAAGCGCGCGUAGGCGGUUUUUUAAGUCUGAUGUGAAAGCCCACGGCUCAACCGUGGAGGGUCAUUGGAAACUGGAAAACUUGAGUGCAGAAGAGGAAAGUGGAAUUCCAUGUGUAGCGGUGAAAUGCGUAGAUAUUGAGAAGAACACCAGUAGCGAAGGCGGCUUUCUGGACUGUAACUGACACUGAGGCACGAAAGCGUGGGUAGCAAACAGG